RNAcentral lists this microRNA precursor (93 nucleotides) under Pelobates cultripes (western spadefoot toad). The record is from RNAcentral. Lineage: Eukaryota; Metazoa; Chordata; Amphibia; Anura; Pelobatidae.
CCCCAGAUGUUGCUGAACUACAACUCCCAUGAUUCCCUGGAUAUCUGUUUCAUAGAAAGAAUCAUGGGAGUUGUAGUUCAGCAACAUCUGGGG